Molecule: ribosomal RNA, 320 nt
Filed under: uncultured eukaryote
Lineage: Eukaryota
Description: partial 18S ribosomal RNA
Rfam family: Eukaryotic small subunit ribosomal RNA
Source: RNAcentral
CCCCGAGAUGUUCUGGGCCGCACGCGCGCUACACUGAACAGUUCAACAAGUCUUAACCUUGGCCGAUAGGUCUGGGUAAUCUUUGAACGCUGUUCGUGAUUGGGAUAGACCUUUGCAAUUAUGGGUCUUCAACGAGGAAUUCCUAGUAAACGCAAGUCAUCAGCUUGCAUUGAUUACGUCCCUGCCCUUUGUACACACCGCCCGUCGCACCUACCGAUUGAAUGGUCCGGUGAAAUCUCGGGACGGCGGCUUGGUCGCUUGCGUCCGACUGCUGAAACUUGAUUAAACCAUAUCAUUUAGAGGAAGGUGAAGUCGUAACA